AAUAGAUACCCCGGUAGUCCACGCCGUAAACGAUGAGUGCUAAGUGUUAGAGGGUUUCCGCCCUUUAGUGGCUGCAGCUAACGCAUUAAGCACUCCGCCUGGGGAGUACGGUCGCAAGACUGAAACUCAAAGGAAUUGACGGGGGGCCCGCACAAGCGGUGGAGCAUGUGGUUUAAUUCGAAGCAACGCGAAGAACCUUACCAGGUCUUGACAUCCUCUGACAACUCUAGAGAUAGAGCGUUCCCCUUCGGGGGACAGAGUGACAGGUGGUGCAUGGUUGUCGUCAGCUCGUGUCGUGAGAUGUUGGGUUAAGUCCCGCAACGAGCGCAACCCUUGAUCUUAGUUGCCAGCAUUUAGUUGGGCACUCUAAGGUGACUGCCGGUGACAAACCGGAGGAAGGUGGGGAUGACGUCAAAUCAUCAUGCCCCUUAUGACCUGGGCUACACACGUGCUACAAUGGAUGGUACAAAGGGGCUGCAAGACCGCGAGGUCAAGCCAAUCCCAAUAAAACCAUUCUCAGUUCGGAUUGUAGG
This 533-nucleotide ribosomal RNA is filed under the name uncultured bacterium. RNAcentral describes it as "bacterial SSU rRNA". It matches the Rfam family "Bacterial small subunit ribosomal RNA", at positions 777 to 1304 of the family's 1533-position model. The record is from RNAcentral.